Molecule: unclassified non-coding RNA, 445 nt
Filed under: Melitaea cinxia (Glanville fritillary)
Lineage: Eukaryota; Metazoa; Arthropoda; Insecta; Lepidoptera; Nymphalidae
Description: misc RNA ENSMCXG00005000482.1
Source: RNAcentral
UCUCACCUUUUGUUCAAAAUGCAAUAAAUAAGGAAAGAUUUUGACAUAUGUGAUUAAAAAUAUACAUAUUUCAGACUCCUUGUAGCAAAUAUACAUCUAUAUAUGUUUAUAUAAAUAUAUGCUACGACGUAGGCGAAAGAGAAAGAAAAAGCAAUUAGCGAUGCAAAUCGUGUCUUUUAUAAUCAAUGAAAUAAUAACUUUGGAAGAAAUAUUCGUAAUCCUUCUAAACAAGUUCUGCUCUGGCUGAAAGUAACUGGUUGUCAUACAAAUUUAACACCCAGACAUCAUCUGUACUUACUGAAACUGCUAACACAAAGAAUACGAAGAAAUUAAUCAAUAAUAUCUUGCAUUAAUUUCCACUGUGUUUAUUAUCAGUCAAAGACAUUUCAAUCAUUUUCUAAUCGUGUUGUCAAACUUUGUGUUGUAGUUAUAUCAUUAAAAAGAU